UUUUUUAUAAAAGUAAUUUAUUUAUUUAGAGUUUUAGUAUUUAGUAAAAAUUAAUUUAUAGAUUUAUAGUUUAAUAGUAUUGUAAAAGAAUUAAUUAAAUUUUUAAAAGAAUAUUUUUAGUACCUUUUGUAUCAGGGUUGAUUAAAAUUUUUAAUUUUUUUUUAAUUUCUCAAAAUUUAUAGAGUUAAUUUUAUUAUUAAUUUAUUGUGUUAUAAAUAUUUAAAAAAUAAUAUUAGUUUUGAAAUUUAAUUCGUUAUAUUAUAUUUAGUUAUUUAGAUUUAAAUUUAAUUUAAAAUUUUAAAAGUUAUAUUGAUUUUUUAUAUUAAUAUUUUAAAUUUAAAUUAUUUUAGGGAUAAGCUUGAAAUUUUUAUAUAAUAAUUUAUUUAUUUUAAUAAUUUAUAGGAAUAGAAAUUUUUAUUUAAGUUUGUAAAAAUUUAUUAUUUAUUUAUUUUUAAUUUAUUAUAAAUUUAUUUAUUUUUUAUAUUAAAUUUUAUUAAUUAAUAUUUAAUUAAUAGUAAUAAUGAUUAAAUUAGUAUAAUUUUUAUUUAUAAAUUAUGAAUUCGGCAAAAAUUAUUUUCAUCUGUUUAACAAAAACAUUGUAUUAAGUUUAAUUUAAUAUAGGAUCUGCUCAAUGAUUUAUUAAAUAGCUGCAGUAUUUUGACUGUGCAAAGGUAGCAUAAUAAUUAGUCUUUUAAUUGAGGACUUGUAUGAAAGAUUUGAUGAGAAAUAAACUUUAUUAUUUAUAUAAUUAAAAUUUUAUUUUUAAGUAAAAAAGCUUAAAUUAUUUAAAGGGACGAUAAGACCCUAUAAAACUUUAUAAAUAUUAAUUUUGAUUUUUUUGGAUUUAUAAAUAUUUUAAUUUUAUUAUUUAUUUUAUUGGGGUGAUAAAAAAAAUUAUUAAACUUUUUUUAAAAUUUUACAUUAUUUAAUGAGUAUUUGAAUUAAAAUUUUUAAUUAAAGGAAAAAGUUACUUUAGGGAUAACAGCGUAAUUAAUUUUUUAAGUUCAAAUUUAAAAAUUAGUUUGCGACCUCGAUGUUGAAUUAAGAUUAAUCUUAGGUGCAAAAUUUUAAGUAUUAGGUCUGUUCGACCUUUAAA
This 1096-nucleotide ribosomal RNA is filed under the name Myzus persicae (green peach aphid). RNAcentral's name for it is "partial 16S large subunit ribosomal RNA". Lineage: Eukaryota; Metazoa; Arthropoda; Insecta; Hemiptera; Aphididae. The record is from RNAcentral.